CACAACCAUGACAGUUGACGUAGCAAGGAACCCAGCUCAGCUAUACGCCAAUGCAGCCGAUACUUAUUACCUGAAAUCACAGCGCUACGCAGAGCAAGUCGCCAAGACUAAGCUGCCGCCACCGCGCACUGAUGUUGAUGACAUCCCGUGAGUAUCUUCACUUCCCGCCUUCCUGUGAUGCUCACCACAAUGCGAGUAAAGCAUUUAGACUUUUUUUGGGGACAGCUUGUCUCAUGCUCUUCUAGUGCAUCACGCCCCGUGCUAACAUCAGUGAACUGCGAUUGUUUCCACUCCAGUAUUUGUUGUGCAUGCCAGAAGAGCCACACUUAACCUCUAACGAUCAGUCUGCUUUGCUUUGCGGAUUCACCCACUCUCUUUACUCCGGGUUCUUGCAGUGCAAGCCAAGGCAACCCCGCCGUGAUCCGCUUCCUGCUGAAUGCCCCCGUUGCUUUGCAACAGAAAUGAUAUUUUGCACUGUCAUGUGAAGCAGAAGACAUUACAGGCAAAGCCAGGUGGUCUCCAGUGGAAAUGGCUCGGCCAGGCUUACCAAUGUCCUUAGCUAUUUCACCAUCGCAUCUGGCUUCAGUGUCACACAGUGUCUGUGACACUGAAACUGUUUCUUGUAUAUGCAGGCAUUCAGGACCACAGGGCAAGGUUAUUCCCCUGACAAUCAUUGACGACCCCGCC
This 687-nucleotide long non-coding RNA is filed under the name Coccomyxa subellipsoidea. RNAcentral describes it as "long non-coding RNA (CSUB_LNC000550)". The record is from RNAcentral. Lineage: Eukaryota; Viridiplantae; Chlorophyta; Trebouxiophyceae; Coccomyxaceae.